GGGCCUAUAGCUCAGCUGGUUAGAGCGCACGCCUGAUAAGCGUGAGGUCGGUGGUUCGAGGCCACUUAGGCCCACCA
This 77-nucleotide transfer RNA is filed under the name Staphylococcus chromogenes. Its description in RNAcentral is "tRNA-Ile". It matches the Rfam family "tRNA". From Rfam's summary of the family: Transfer RNA (tRNA) molecules are approximately 80 nucleotides in length. Their secondary structure includes four short double-helical elements and three loops (D, anti-codon, and T loops). Further hydrogen bonds mediate the characteristic L-shaped molecular structure. tRNAs have two regions of fundamental functional importance: the anti-codon, which is responsible for specific mRNA codon recognition, and the 3' end, to which the tRNAs corresponding amino acid is attached (by aminoacyl-tRNA synthetases). tRNAs cope with the degeneracy of the genetic code in two manners: having more than one tRNA (with a specific anti-codon) for a particular amino acid; and 'wobble' base-pairing, i.e. permitting non-standard base-pairing at the 3rd anti-codon position. Lineage: Bacteria; Bacillati; Bacillota; Bacilli; Caryophanales; Staphylococcaceae. The record is from RNAcentral.